AGAAGUCCUGACCAGAGGCUCCGAUGGAAACAGAGGUCUAAGAAUGGUUUAGUCUUGCCCCUCCUUGCUCUGGAGAAAGGACCUAGACUCCUGCAGUGGAUGCACAGCAUUAUAAUGAGGAAAAUACAGGCUGCCGCGGAGUCCAGGCUGCCAUUCUGUCCUGAUGCCCUGAACUGGACCCUGGCUGCCGACCAAAAGCAAGACUCACCGACACCACAGUGAAGGCCGUGUUGACGAUACCCGAGCCGAUGGUGGCAUACACAGGCUGCUGCACACCUGCCUUCUCGAAGAUGCUCGUUGAGUAGUAGAACACCUGCCAGAAAGGGAGAUCAUUGGAGAUCCUUCAUGCUUAUGGCCCUCUCCUUCCUCUGUACUAGUUACUAGUAGGUAUGGGACCCAAGGUGAGUGUGUGUGUGUGU
RNAcentral lists this long non-coding RNA (419 nucleotides) under Mus caroli (Ryukyu mouse). RNAcentral describes it as "predicted gene 12868 (MGP_CAROLIEiJ_G0003551.1)". The record is from RNAcentral. Lineage: Eukaryota; Metazoa; Chordata; Mammalia; Rodentia; Muridae.